GCUUAGGUAGCUCAGCGGUAGAGCAAAAGACUGAAAAUCUUUGGGUCAGCGGUUCAAAUCCGCUUCUAAGC
RNAcentral lists this transfer RNA (71 nucleotides) under Leucocryptos marina. Its description in RNAcentral is "tRNA-Phe". It matches the Rfam family "tRNA". From Rfam's summary of the family: Transfer RNA (tRNA) molecules are approximately 80 nucleotides in length. The record is from RNAcentral. Lineage: Eukaryota; Cryptophyceae; Kathablepharidacea; Katablepharidaceae.